CUUGACCUUCCACUGAAGAAUAGAUUCUACCUGCAACCACUUCCUCCAGCAGAAGCUGCAGCAAGGGCGAAAGAGUCCGCAAAGGACAUUGUGAAUCUCAAGGAAUUGAUAGAGAAGAAGCAAUGGCCUUACGUCCAAAAUGACCUCCGCCUCAAGGCCUCUUACCUCCGCUUUGACCUCAAUACCGUCAUCUCCGCAAAACCCAAAGAAGAGAAGAAGCCCCUCAAGGAGCUCACAGGGAAGCUCUUUGCUACAAUUGAUGAG
Molecule: long non-coding RNA, 264 nt
Filed under: Phoenix dactylifera (date palm)
Lineage: Eukaryota; Viridiplantae; Streptophyta; Magnoliopsida; Arecales; Arecaceae
Description: long non-coding RNA (PDAC_LNC002383)
Source: RNAcentral